UACGUAGGGGGCGAGCGUCGUUCGGAAUCACUGGGUGUAAAGGGUCUGCAAGCGGACUUUCAAGUCAGAGGUGAAAUCCUGCAGCUUAACUGUAGAACUGCCUUUGAAACUGUUGGUCUUGAGUCCGGGAGAGGAUGGCGGAAUUCCUGGUGUAGCGGUGAAAUGCGUAGAUAUCAGGAAGAACACCGGUGGUGAAGACGGCCAUCUGGACCGGUACUGACGCCCGGAGACGAAAGCGUGGGUAGCAAACAGG
This 253-nucleotide ribosomal RNA is filed under the name uncultured bacterium. RNAcentral describes it as "partial 16S ribosomal RNA". It matches the Rfam family "Bacterial small subunit ribosomal RNA", at positions 524 to 776 of the family's 1533-position model. The record is from RNAcentral.